GGUGGAUGUCAGUUGAUGCUUGUUGUGCUUAACAGAGCCCUUGUUCCUUUUGGAGAGAUCAUAUGUCACUCACUUCAGACCAAGACUGCUGGUCAUGGAACAAAACACAAAGAGCCUUUUGUCUUUCCAUGUCUUAUUCAUACCCUAUGUUGUCUGAAGGGAGUUGAGCCGACCCCAGUGAUGUCUGGCAUGAGGCACCUGUUAUUUAUGACUUAGCCUAUAUUGCUCUAAGUGACUCUAAGUGACAAACUAUCCACUCCUCAACUAUCCAAAGCUUCG
Molecule: long non-coding RNA, 279 nt
Filed under: Prunus persica (peach)
Lineage: Eukaryota; Viridiplantae; Streptophyta; Magnoliopsida; Rosales; Rosaceae
Description: long non-coding RNA (PPER_LNC007311)
Source: RNAcentral